Molecule: non-coding RNA, 618 nt
Organism: Nomascus leucogenys (northern white-cheeked gibbon)
Lineage: Eukaryota; Metazoa; Chordata; Mammalia; Primates; Hylobatidae
Source: the annotation of a RefSeq genome assembly
CCCAACUGUCUCCACUCGGUGAUCAGCACUGAAUACAGGAGACUCACCAUGGAGUUUGGGCUGAGCUGGGUUUUCCUUGUUGCUAUUUUAAAAGGUGUCCAGUGUGAGGUGCAGCUGGUGGAGUCUGGGGGAGGCUUGGUACAGCCUGGUGGAUCCUUGAGACUCUCCUGUGCAGCUUCUGGAUUCACCUUCAGGAGCUCUGCUGUGCACUGGGUCCGCCAGGCUUCUGGGAAAGGACUAGAGUGAGUUGGCUGUAUUAGAAGCAAAGCUAACAGUUACGCGACAGCAUACGCUGCGUCGGUGAAAGGCAGGUUCACCAUCUCCAGAGAUGAUUCAAAGAACACGGCGUAUCUGCAAAUGAACAGCCUGAAAGCCGAGGACACGGCCGUGUAUUCCUGUACUAGACAUACAGUGAGGGGACAUACAGUGAGGGGAGGUCAAUGUGUCCCUGCAGGGCACACGAGGCCACCAGGGGGCGCUCGGGACCCACUGAGGACGGGACAGGUCCCAGGAGCAGAUGCAGAGGCAGGUUUUCUUUCUCCUCAGCUGGAGAAGUCAGGUUUGUGUUUUCAGAACUCUGGAGUCUUACAGGUUGUUACAUUUUCAUACAGUUAUUAG